This 332-nucleotide ribosomal RNA is filed under the name uncultured bacterium. RNAcentral's name for it is "bacterial SSU rRNA". It matches the Rfam family "Bacterial small subunit ribosomal RNA", at positions 568 to 898 of the family's 1533-position model. The record is from RNAcentral.
CGAGUAGGCGGAAUUAUAAGUGAGGUGGUAAAGACAUGGGCUUAACCUGUGGGUGACACCUUAGACUGUAAGUCUAGAGAUCAGGAGAGGGGAGUGGAAUUUCCGGAGGAGCGGUAAAAUGCGUAGAGAUCAGGAGGAACACCCGUGGCGAAGGCGGUUGGCUGGGCCCUUCCUGACGCUGAGGCGCGAAAGCGCGGGGAGCGAACGGGAUUAGAUACCCCGGUAGUCCGCGCCGUAAACGAUGGAGACUAGGUGUCAGCGGUAUCGACCCCGCUGGUGCCGGAGCUAACGCGUGAAGUCUCCCGCCUGGGGAGUACGGCCGCAAGGUUGAA